GACGAACCGUCCAAACGUUAUUCGGAAUCACUGGGCUUAAAGGGUGCGUAGGCGGCGACGCAAGUGGGGUGUGAAAUCCCUCAGCUCAACUGAGGAACUGCGCUCCAAACUGCGUUGCUAGAGGGAGAUAGAGGUGAGCGGAACUAAUGGUGGAGCGGUGAAAUGCGUUGAUAUCAUUAGGAACACCGGUGGCGAAAGCGGCUCACUGGGUCUCUUCUGACGCUGAGGCACGAAAGCUAGGGGAGCGAACGGG
This 253-nucleotide unclassified non-coding RNA is filed under the name uncultured Pirellulaceae bacterium. RNAcentral describes it as "contains 16S-23S intergenic spacer region". It matches the Rfam family "Bacterial small subunit ribosomal RNA", at positions 524 to 776 of the family's 1533-position model. Lineage: Bacteria; Pseudomonadati; Planctomycetota; Planctomycetia; Pirellulales; Pirellulaceae. The record is from RNAcentral.